GAUGAACGCUGGCGGCGUGCCUAAUACAUGCAAGUCGAGCGAACAGACGAGGAGCUUGCUCCUCUGACGUUAGCGGCGGACGGGUGAGUAACACGUGGAUAACCUACCUAUAAGACUGGGAUAACUUCGGGAAACCGGAGCUAAUACCGGAUAAUAUAUUGAACCGCAUGGUUCAAUAGUGAAAGACGGUUUUGCUGUCACUUAUAGAUGGAUCCGCGCCGCAUUAGCUAGUUGGUAAGGUAACGGCUUACCAAGGGAACGAUGCGUAGCCGACGUGAGAGGGUGAUCGGCCACACUGGAACUGAGACACGGUCCAGACUCCUACGGGAGGCAGCAGUAGGGAAUCUUCGGCAAUGGGCGAAAGUUUGACGGAGCAACGCCGCGUGAGAGAUGAAGGUCUUCGGAUCGUAAAACUCUGUUAUUAGGGAAGAACAAAUGUGUAAGUAACUAUGCACGUCGUGACGGUACCUAAUCAGAAAGCCACGGCUAACUACGUG
This 497-nucleotide ribosomal RNA is filed under the name uncultured bacterium. Its description in RNAcentral is "partial 16S ribosomal RNA". It matches the Rfam family "Bacterial small subunit ribosomal RNA", at positions 28 to 507 of the family's 1533-position model. The record is from RNAcentral.